RNAcentral lists this ribosomal RNA (497 nucleotides) under uncultured bacterium. RNAcentral describes it as "partial 16S ribosomal RNA". It matches the Rfam family "Bacterial small subunit ribosomal RNA", at positions 28 to 507 of the family's 1533-position model. The record is from RNAcentral.
GAUGAACGCUGGCAGCGUGCCUAAUACAUGCAAGUCGAGCGAACAGAUGAGGAGCUUGCUCCUCUGACGUUAGCGGCGGACGGGUGAGUAACACGUGGAUAACCUACCUAUAAGACUGGGAUAACUUCGGGAAACCGGAGCUAAUACCGGAUAAUAUAUUGAACCGCAUGGUUCAAUAGUGAAAGACGGUUUUGCUGUCACUUAUAGAUGGAUCCGCGCCGCAUUAGCUAGUUGGUAAGGUAACGGCUUACCAAGGCGACGAUGCGUAGCCGACCUGAGAGGGUGAUCGGCCACACUGGAACUGAGACACGGUCCAGACUCCUACGGGAGGCAGCAGUAGGGAAUCUUCCGCAAUGGGCGAAAGCCUGACGGAGCAACGCCGCGUGAGUGAUGAAGGUCUUCGGAUCGUAAAACUCUGUUAUUAGGGAAGAACAAAUGUGUAAGUAACUAUGCGCGUCUUGACGGUACCUAAUCAGAAAGCCACGGCUAACUACGUG